GAACAUUUCUAGAAUAGGGAAUAAGAUCAGCAAACAGUCAGAGAACUGACUUCUUCUCCAUAAAGUGGGGGAAGCUUCACUUCCUCCUAUUUCUAUCAAAAAACAAUUGGAGAAUCAAAAAGAAGAAACACUAUGUUUGAUGAUAUAGAAUUCAAUAUUAAUAUAGCUGUAAAUGGAUUGGAUUUUGAUUACUAAAUUUUCAAUCCAAAUACAAACUAACUCGAACCAAUCUCCUUUUCUUUUGCCUUG
This 249-nucleotide long non-coding RNA is filed under the name Elaeis guineensis (African oil palm). RNAcentral describes it as "long non-coding RNA (EGUI_LNC036411)". The record is from RNAcentral. Lineage: Eukaryota; Viridiplantae; Streptophyta; Magnoliopsida; Arecales; Arecaceae.